Long non-coding RNA from Musca domestica (house fly), 1026 nucleotides. RefSeq lists it as uncharacterized. The record is from RefSeq and is a predicted model, not a curated record. The transcript is spliced from 2 exons. Lineage: Eukaryota; Metazoa; Arthropoda; Insecta; Diptera; Muscidae.
CGUUGUGUUGUGUUUUCUGUUGAUGACUGACCAACGGACCAACCAAAAAAAGAAAAAAGAAACACCAAAAACAAACAACUGCGAUUACGCGCGCAAAAAACAAAAACAACGAACAACUCGGCUAAGAGAAACAAUUUCGUGCAGAGAAUUGACAAAACUUCUUAAAGCUGACAGGAGAGCCAGGCAAAGCGAGUGAGCCAUAGCCAGCGACCCAUUAACUUCCGAGUGCUGUGAUAAUAUUCCCAUUUUCCAGUUGCGUCGCACAGUUCAUGCAAAAAGGUCGAUACACGACGACGUCGACGAAGACAACGAAAUCGUUCUUUUUUUCUUCUUCGCGUGGCACUACGUGUUUCCUACAUCGCUGCCGCCGCAGCCACCUAUAACUUUUAUUCUUGGGUCCAAGCUACCGACCGACCGACCGACCUCCUUUCGGCGGCUGGGCCAGUUGUCUAUACACUUUCAUCUUAAAACUAGAAAAUUUCGUGUCCUAACUAUAUUCUUUCCUAGUUGGUUUCGUUCGGUUUACCUCUUCCUUGGUUGGUGUGUGUGCCUGUGUCGGCUGCAUUUAAGUAAGCCUUUGACCACCGGAUAAACGGCCGGACACUUGUGUUAAACGCUCGGUCACGGGUCACGGUUAAAGUGGUGUUCCUCCGUUUAUUUUUCUACUUCGAUGAGCCAUAACAGCCGCGCGUACGUCUAAAAAAAAUAACACCAAAACGACCUGCACACGCUCGGAAAAUUUAAAUUUUCUUGUUUUUUUUUUGUUUUUCGUCAACAAAAAAUUCUGUUUGUUGGCUGCCACUAUGCUGAGUUAAUUGAAAUUUAAUGAGAAAGUAGCAAAUGGAAGAAGAAGAAGAAUAAAUCUUUUGGAUAAAUAAAAUCAAUGCUCUCAGUACCAUGCAGAGAGGAGGCUUAACGUGCCGGCAUGCUGGGCCAGAAGUUGAAAUUUACAAACUCUAAUAAAAAGAAACCAACCAAAUUCUAGUGGAGUCAAGAAUUUUGCCAAGAGGCUCUAAAAGUAAUUUU